UGGCUUAGAUGGUAAAGAAUCUGCCUGCAGUGCAGGAGACCCAGGUUCAAUGCCUGG
This 57-nucleotide transfer RNA is filed under the name Ovis aries (sheep). It matches the Rfam family "tRNA", at positions 8 to 63 of the family's 71-position model. Rfam says of the family: Transfer RNA (tRNA) molecules are approximately 80 nucleotides in length. The record is from Rfam by way of RNAcentral. Lineage: Eukaryota; Metazoa; Chordata; Mammalia; Artiodactyla; Bovidae.